AAGGAAUCUUCAUUUUAUUCAAGUUAAUCUUAUAUGAAGCAUCAUGAAAUAGAAUGAAAAUGGUCAAAGCUCAUCUGAUUGCAACAGAAUUCAGGCCAAGAGCCACCAAAGAACUGAUGUCUGCCAAAACCCAUAUGAAGGAUCUUGCAUACAGGUUCACAAGCCUCAUUUGAGCUUUGAGGUGUCAGACUCACCAGCUAACAGUUUGGGCGCAAUCUCUUAGUUUCCAGAGCCAGAAGUUCUCACGUAAGCUACUCCAAGAAUUUCAAUCUUGACCCACAGAAACUUGAUCAGUGUUAGCAAACAGCUUCUCUGGAACUGAGCAUCUAUCCAGCAAGCCUCCUGCCAUCUACAGGCAAAAUAAAAAUUCCUCAUUGCAAAGGUGAAGAAUUAAACAUUGAUGGAGAGUGAUAGUGAAGAGAUGAAAAAGAGAGAUACUUUAGUUCUCUUUGGGAACCUUGGAACUGAAGAAGGAAUGCAGCGUACUGUUUUCUGAAAUCUGAUACUAGAAAAGACCUAGAGCGAUUUGGUAAUGAUGGGAUUUAGUAUGUUCUUGAAUUCCCUAACUUAUAUAUUGACAGGGUCUGCCUUUGUCACCUAGGCAGGAGUUCAGCAGUGCCAUCAUUGCUCGCUGCUGCAGCCUUAACCUCUCGAGCUCAAGCUGUCCUCCCACCUCAGCCUCCUGAGUACCUGCAACUACAGGCAUGUGCCACCAUGGCCAGCAUUUUUGCAUUUUUUUGUAGAUAUGGGGGUCUCAUUAUGUUUCCCCGGCUGGUCUCCAACUCCUGAGCUCAAGCAAUCUGCCUGCCGCGACCUCCCAAAGUCCUGGGACUACAGGCAUGAGCUACCAGAUCCGGACCAUACAUUGUCUUUUAAUGUUGUCUAUCCUCUUAUAUUAGUUUUAUGCUGUUACUCUGAAAAUGUUAUGUUUUAAUUUUUAGUUCAAUUGUAUUUAUAUAUAUAUAUAAAACCGUCAUACAUAUGCUUUGAGAAUAUGCAUUAUAUAUAAUAUGUAAUAUGCAUUGAGAAGUUUUUUAAAUUUUCCGAUAUUUUAUCUUUAUUUGCCAGCAAGAUUUAUUAUUAAAAAUGUAAUUAUAGCAACAUUUAUGUCAUUUCUCUACAUGUUCAGCAUUCUUUUCAUCUAUUAUAAGGAAAUAAUAAAUGCUUGAUAUGGAAUGUUUUAUACAUAAAAUAUACAAAGUAAUGCUAUAUUGAGCAUCAAUUUACCUGUGACUCAACUAAAGAAGGAAAAUAGAUAAUUUUAAGUCAAGUCAAUAUUUUGUUGUUGGUAGACCUUUUCAAUGAGAGUCCUAUUUGAACUAUUCUUAUCUCCCACUCUUCUUUGCAGUAAUAUUCCCUAAGUAACAGACUUUACUCAUUUUUGACUGAGUUGUGAUUUUUAAAGAAUAUAUGUUUCAAAAGAUCAAAUGUGAAUUUCUCUUUUACCUUCUCUCUUACCACUUAGUCUAUUGACACAGUCUCCUAGAUCUGCAACUGCUGUGUUUACGUACAGAUUAAGCCCAACAUUAGUUAAAAUUCCGUUCUAUGCUUAGUAUUCAUCUAAUGCACAGAUGUUUGUCUUCCCUCUCAGUAAAAUAUAUUUCUCAUACAACACUCUUUAUUAGUCUUUCUUAUUUAUCUAGUUGUUUGUUUCUGAGGGUUUUGUAUCUAAAUAAUUUUGGAAUGAUAAUGGUUGUGGAAUAAUUUUCCCAUGUUCUCUGACAGUUUCAGAAAGCAGUAACUGCAUAGCAGAGGGCAGAGGGAUAGAGCUCCAACUUAGUAUUAGAAGUUCAUAGGCUUGAGGCCGGGUGUGGUGUCUCAUGCCUGUAAUCCCAGUACUUUGGGAGGCCGAGGUAAGCACAUCACUUCAGGUCAGGAGUUCCAGACCAGUCUGGUCAACAUGGCAAAGCCCCAUCUUUACUAAAAUUACAAUAAUUAGCUGGGUGUAGUGGCGCACGCCUGUAAUCCCAGCUACUUGGGAGGCUGAGGCAUGAAAAUCGCUUGAACCCCAGAAGUGAAGGUGGCAGUGAGCCGAGAUCACACCACUGCACUCCAGCCUGGGUGACAGAGUGAGAUUCUGUUUCAAAAGGAAAAAAAAUAAAGGAAGUUGAUGGGCUUGGAUACUAGUCUCUACUGAAAUACAAAUUAUGUCUUUUACCCUGUUUGGAAAAGAUUUACUUGGAAGGAAAUAUCUGGCUAACACAUCCUAUUAAAUCUAGUUUAAUAGCUCUUUCUGCCUUUGAAGGAAAGUUGGGAAAUGUUGCUAUAAAGGCAUUUUUUUGUAUCUAAAUGAAUUUUCCAAUGCUGUCGUAUUGCUGAGAAAUUUUGUGUACACAAAAAUUUUAAGUAGGAAAUUUUUUUUUCAAAAACUAAAGUGAUGAAAUAUACAAUAGUAUCCUUUUUAGAUAUCACUCAGCCCCACAACCACUUGUGAGUAUAAAACCUUGACUGCGUUAAUAUGCCCCACAAUAUCUGAACAAUGUCAUCUCUGAAAUUGAACUGUUGAUGCAUUGUGAUCCAUUUACUGCAAUAUAUGGCAAUAGCCUUUUGAUCCAAUAUUUGGAAUACAUUAAUUUCCAAUAUACAAAAAAUAGAAAUAUACAAUUAUAUACAAAUAUAUAAAAAUAUACAAAUAUAUGCACAAAAAAUAUACAAAUAUAUACACAAAACAUAUGCUAUAUACAAAUGUAUACAAAUAUAUACACAAAAAUAUAUACAAAUACACAAAAAUAUACAAAUAUAUAAAUAUACAUAUAUAUCAAAAUAUAUACACAAAAAUAUGCAAUAAUUUGGAAAUAAUUGGGCCUAUUUCUCUUUGUCUUUAUACUGUGCCAAGAGAUGCUAAUGUCUUAAACUCAGCCUUUUGACAGUGAUAAUUUAAUUUUUAAAGUGUUGCUUUCAAAAUCUCCCACCACACUAAUUUUGGCCAUAUCAAAUUAAAAACCAUCAGACUAGUUUAUAUUAACAAUUCCUAACAUUUAUAUCAAUCUGACUAUCCAACAGUCAAUAUCAUAACACUUUUACAUACAUUAAGUAGUUUAAGCUCUUUGAACACCUGUCAAGUUUGGAACUAGUAUGGUCUCCAAUUUAUUUAUAAGACACUGAAACACCAAGAAGUCAAAUGACCUACCUCAUGUCAACAAACCACCAAGUGGCAAUACCCAAAUCAGAAGCCUGCUUCCAGGUCCUAUUUGUCUGAUUUCUCUUGUUUAUAGCAGAAUGCCUGAAACUGGUUAUUUAUAAAGAAAAGGAAUUUAUUUCUUACAGUUAUGGAGGCUGAGAAGUUCAAUGUUGAGGAGCCGUAUCAGGUGAGAGUUGGUAGGGACUCUUUGAAUAGUCCUAAGGCAGCACAGUCGGCCAGCAGACUGAGGAUGCUCGUGGGCUUGCUCCCUUCUGUCAUCCGCUUCUCAUAAAGACACCAGUUCCACUCCAUGAUAACCCAUUAUUCCAUGAAUCCAUGAAGAGAUUAAUCCAUUUGUAAGGGCAGAGCCUCAUGAUUCAAUCACCUCUUAAAGAUCCUGCCUUUCAAUACUGCCAUAUAUUUUAUGAUGGC
RNAcentral lists this long non-coding RNA (3553 nucleotides) under Homo sapiens (human). RNAcentral describes it as "HSALNT0271896". Lineage: Eukaryota; Metazoa; Chordata; Mammalia; Primates; Hominidae. The record is from RNAcentral.